GAUCCUGGCUCAGAUUGAACGCUGGCGGCAGGCUUAACACAUGCAAGUCGAGCGGAAACGAUACCAGCUUGCUGGUAGGCGUCGAGCGGCGGACGGGUGAGUAAUACUUAGGAAUCUACCUAGUAGUGGGGGAUAGCUCGGGGAAACUCGAAUUAAUACCGCAUACGACCUACGGGAGAAAGGGGGCAGUUUACUGCUCUCG
This 202-nucleotide ribosomal RNA is filed under the name uncultured Moraxellaceae bacterium. RNAcentral describes it as "partial 16S ribosomal RNA". It matches the Rfam family "Bacterial small subunit ribosomal RNA", at positions 15 to 217 of the family's 1533-position model. The record is from RNAcentral. Lineage: Bacteria; Pseudomonadati; Pseudomonadota; Gammaproteobacteria; Moraxellales; Moraxellaceae.